RNAcentral lists this long non-coding RNA (656 nucleotides) under Gallus gallus (chicken). Its description in RNAcentral is "long non-coding RNA NONGGAT005000". Lineage: Eukaryota; Metazoa; Chordata; Aves; Galliformes; Phasianidae. The record is from RNAcentral.
GUUGGACUUGGAGACCUUAGACUUUCCAACCUUAACGAUUCUCUGAUUCUAUUGGCUUGUUGGGUGUAUGUCAGUGGUUGGGCUUAAUGACCUUGAAGGUCAUUUCCAACCUUAACAAUUCUCUGAUUCUCUUCUAGAAUGUAAAUUUCACCUCUGAAGGGAGGCUGUGUUUUGCUCAGCCUUGUUUAAACCCAUUGAAAUUUUCAAUCUGAUUCAUUUUGUUUUUUCACCUCCCAGAGGCCGAGCUCUCUGGAAACCACCGUCCCAUGUUGCCCAUCCCACUGAAAACAAUUUACCCCUCCCUGUAGAGGAGGGGAAUGUGUGACAUUGGCUCUGCUUUAUCAGCUGGGAAAGCCCCAGUGUGAGCUGAGCUCUGUGCGUGCAGACGGAAGGAGGCACAGGAAACGCGGCUGAGGCUGCAAGGUUACUCGGCAUGCGGCCCCGUGACGCCUGGUGUUGGGUGGCCAUGCUGCUGCUCGCCCUGUUCAGCAACACUGCUGGAGGCCGACGUGGAGCUGGAGGAAGAGCUGGGGGACGAGGAGGAGGAGGAGGCGGUGGAGGAGGAGGGCUACGUGGGGGCUUUCGGUCCAUCUCCCGUGGAGGCAACACUGCAGGCCGAGGCUCCAAGAUGGCGAGUGCCAUCGCAGCCGGUGCUG